UGCCCUGUAGCUGCUGG
Molecule: unclassified non-coding RNA, 17 nt
Filed under: Mus musculus (house mouse)
Lineage: Eukaryota; Metazoa; Chordata; Mammalia; Rodentia; Muridae
Description: oocyte_clustered_small_RNA7090
Source: RNAcentral